ACGAACGCUGGCGGCGUGCUUAACACAUGCAAGUCGAACGGAAAGGCCCUGCUUUUGUGGGGUGCUCGAGUGGCGAACGGGUGAGUAACACGUGAGUAACCUGCCCUUGACUUUGGGAUAACUUCAGGAAACUGGGGCUAAUACCGGAUAGGAGCUCCUGCUGCAUGGUGGGGGUUGGAAAGUUUCGGCGGUUGGGGAUGGACUCGCGGCUUAUCAGCUUGUUGGUGGGGUAGUGGCUUACCAAGGCUUUGACGGGUAGCCGGCCUGAGAGGGUGACCGGCCACAUUGGGACUGAGAUACGGCCCAGACUCCUACGGGAGGCAGCAGUGGGGAAUAUUGCACAAUGGGCGGGAGCCUGAUGCAGCAACGCCGCGUGCGGGAUGACGGCCUUCGGGUUGUAAACCGCUUUCGCCUGUGACGAAGCGUGAGUGACGGUAAUGGGUAAAGAAGCACCGGCUAACUACGU
RNAcentral lists this ribosomal RNA (466 nucleotides) under uncultured bacterium. Its description in RNAcentral is "partial 16S ribosomal RNA". It matches the Rfam family "Bacterial small subunit ribosomal RNA", at positions 29 to 506 of the family's 1533-position model. The record is from RNAcentral.